CGCCGUAAACGAUGGAUACUAGCUGUGGGGUUUUCGGACUCCGUGGCCAAGCGAAAGUGAUAAGUAUCCCACCUGGGGAGUACGUUCGCAAGAAUGAAACUCAAAGGAAUUGACGGGGGCCCGCACAAGCGGUGGAGCAUGUGGUUUAAUUCGAUGAUACGCGAGGAACCUUACCAGGGCUUAAAUGCAGGCUGCAUGGGGUAGAGACACCCCUUUCUUCGGACCGCCUGCAAGGUGCUGCAUGGUUGUCGUCAGCUCGUGCCGUGAGGUGUCAGGUUAAGUCCUAUAACGAGCGCAACCCCUACCGUUAGUUGCCAGCAUGUCAAGAUGGGGACUCUAACGGGACUGCCGGUGCAAACCGUGAGGAAGGUGGGGACGACGUCAAAUCAUCACGGCCCUUACGUCCUGGGCUACACACGUGCUACAAUGGCCGGUACAGAGGGAAGCCACCCCGCAAGGGGGCGCGGAUCUACAAAACCGGUCACAGUUCGGAUCGGGGUCUGCAACUCGACCCCGUGAAGCUGGAAUCGCUAGUAAUCGGAUAUCAGCCAUGAUCCGGUGAAUACGCUCCCGGGCCUUGUACACACCGCCCC
This 593-nucleotide ribosomal RNA is filed under the name uncultured bacterium. Its description in RNAcentral is "bacterial SSU rRNA". It matches the Rfam family "Bacterial small subunit ribosomal RNA", at positions 798 to 1396 of the family's 1533-position model. The record is from RNAcentral.